UCUCUGUUAGUAUAUCGGUUAGUACACGCGCCUGUCAUCCGUCGCAACGUAGUGGGUCGCGCGAAAGCUGGGUUCGACUCCCAGACAGAGAG
Molecule: transfer RNA, 92 nt
Filed under: Pleurotus ostreatus PC15
Lineage: Eukaryota; Fungi; Basidiomycota; Agaricomycetes; Agaricales; Pleurotaceae
Description: tRNA-Asp
Source: RNAcentral